UACAGAGGCCCCGAGCGUUAUCCGGAAUUAUUGGGCGUAAAGGGUGUGUAGGUGGUUGUGUUAGUCGAAUGUCAAAAAUCUGGGCUCAACCCAGGGGAGGCAUUCGGAACGGCACGGCUUGAGUGUGUGAGAGGUGAACGGAACUCAUGGAGUAGGGGUGAAAUCCGUUGAUAUCAUGGGGAACACCAAAUGCGAAGGCAGUUCACUGGCACAUUACUGACACUGAGACACGAAAGCGUGGGUAGCGAAUGGG
RNAcentral lists this ribosomal RNA (253 nucleotides) under uncultured bacterium. Its description in RNAcentral is "partial 16S ribosomal RNA". It matches the Rfam family "Bacterial small subunit ribosomal RNA", at positions 524 to 776 of the family's 1533-position model. The record is from RNAcentral.